CCCUUAGAUGUCCUGGGCCGCACGCGCGCUACACUGACAUGUUCAACAAGCCUCCUAGUUCGACAGGAUUUGGGAAAUCUUUGAACGCAUGUCGUGAUAGGGAUAGAUCAUUGCAAUUAUUGAUCUUGAACGAGGAAUUCCUAGUAAACGCGAGUCAUCAGCUCGCAUUGAUUACGUCCCUGCCCUUUGUACACACCGCCCGUCGCACCUACCGAUUGAAUAUUUCGGUGAAGAUUCCGGAUAGGACUUUUUUGAUUUAUUUCAAUUCUGUCUUAAAAGCUAUCUAAACCUCAACAUUUAGAGGAAGGUGAAGUCGUAACA
RNAcentral lists this ribosomal RNA (321 nucleotides) under uncultured eukaryote. RNAcentral's name for it is "partial 18S ribosomal RNA". It matches the Rfam family "Eukaryotic small subunit ribosomal RNA", at positions 1470 to 1796 of the family's 1831-position model. The record is from RNAcentral.